GGGCCCCCUCUCAUGGCUCUGUGCACCUGUGUCUGUCAUUGUCGUCCUCUCCCCUCCCCCCGCCCCGCUCGCCCAAUGUGUCCUGAUAUUUCACUCUUGCGAUCUGGUCACCCUACCUGUGGCUGAAGUAGGAACACAUUCAGAGCUGAUGGAGAAAAGGGGGUUAUAUUAUUCACUUGCAGCAGCACAGAAGACCAUGAAGAAUCAACAGAAACUAUUACCUUAAAAGAUCAUGAAGAAGCGUUCCCCAUCAAUGGGUUGAUUUCGAACAGAGCAAGCAUAAAACAUGUUCCACAAAAAGAGGCUGAAGAAGAAGCUGCACCUGAAGAGGAACACCUUCCCAAAGUUUCUUUCCUCAAGCUUUUUAAAUUAAAC
RNAcentral lists this long non-coding RNA (375 nucleotides) under Chrysemys picta bellii (western painted turtle). RNAcentral's name for it is "lncRNA (ENSCPBG00000009412.1)". Lineage: Eukaryota; Metazoa; Chordata; Testudines; Emydidae. The record is from RNAcentral.